GCCCAACUCUUUAUUUGCAUUGGUCACACCAAAAUGUAACGAACGCACAUACAUAGAGCUUGCACUUUGUACAUCGAACCAAGCCCUUUAGAGCCUUCUCUUUCUCGACUACAUCUCUGGCCUCAUUUAUCACAUGCAUUUGGGAGAUUCACUCCCAUUUGAACCCUCUGAUAUUCGAUCCACUUUAUUGAUUGAGCAUGGGUUAGCUGUUCCACAUCACACGGCCAAUAUAGGCCACACACACACCACAAUGAGAGAUCACCAACAUAGAAAAAUAUGUUUUAGUUCCCACUCAAUCCCAUCCUACAUCUAGCCUCUGGUUUGGAUCAUUUAACCCUCUAAAUUUUGUCUCAUUUUUACCCAACAUAUUAUAGAUUCAACACUUAACUCCCUUCAAGGCUUACAUUUAGCAGUCCUAGUCUAGUAUCAUUCCUAGUAAUAAAUCUUUAAAUUAAUUAUGUGAGUCGUCUGAGAGCUUCCUUCAACCUAACUUUAUUUGGUUCACUAUUCUCCAUCACCCUGAACACCUUCCCUUAUUAUUCUUCCCCUCUAUGUGUUUGGUUUGUUAGGUUUU
This 574-nucleotide long non-coding RNA is filed under the name Carica papaya (papaya). Its description in RNAcentral is "long non-coding RNA (CPAP_LNC011926)". The record is from RNAcentral. Lineage: Eukaryota; Viridiplantae; Streptophyta; Magnoliopsida; Brassicales; Caricaceae.